UACAGAGGUCCCAAGCGUUGUUCGGAUUCAUUGGGCGUAAAGGGUGCGUAGGUGGCGCCGUAAGUCAGGUGUGAAAUCUCGGGGCUUAACUCCGAAACUGCAUUUGAUACUGCGGUGCUUGAGGACUGGAGAGGAGACUGGAAUUUACGGUGUAGCAGUGAAAUGCGUAGAGAUCGUAAGGAAGACCAGUGGCGAAGGCGGGCCUCUGGACAGUUCCUGACACUGAGGCACGAAGGCCAGGGGAGCAAACGGG
This 253-nucleotide ribosomal RNA is filed under the name uncultured bacterium. RNAcentral's name for it is "partial 16S ribosomal RNA". It matches the Rfam family "Bacterial small subunit ribosomal RNA", at positions 524 to 776 of the family's 1533-position model. The record is from RNAcentral.